This 492-nucleotide ribosomal RNA is filed under the name uncultured bacterium. Its description in RNAcentral is "partial 16S ribosomal RNA". It matches the Rfam family "Bacterial small subunit ribosomal RNA", at positions 29 to 507 of the family's 1533-position model. The record is from RNAcentral.
AGUGAACGCUGGCGGUAGGCCUAACACAUGCAAGUCGAACGGCAGCACAGUAAGAGCUUGCUCUUACGGGUGGCGAGUGGCGGACGGGAGAGGAAUACAUCGGAAUCUACUUUUUCGUGGGGGUUAACGUAGGGAAACUUACGCUAAUACCGCAUACGACCUACGGGUGAAAGCAGGGGAUCUUCGGACCUUGCGCGAUUGAAUGAGCCGAUGUCGGAUUAGCUGGUUGGCGGGGUAAAGGCCCACCAAGGCGACGAUCCGUAGCUGGUCUGAGAGGAUGGUCAGCCACACUGGAACUGAGACACGGUCCAGACUCCUACGGGAGGCAGCAGUGGGGAAUAUUGGACAAUGGGGGCAAGCCUGACCCAGCCAUACCGCGUGGGUGAAGAAGGCCUCCGGGUUGUAAAGCCCUUUUGUUGGGAAAGAAAAGCAGCAGGUUAAUACCCCGCGGUUCUGACGGUACCCAAAGAAUAAGCACCGGCUAACUUCGUG